AGCGGCCCCAAGCUAACACCUGUGCCCAUCUUCCUCUCUUUUGUAUGAGGGACGCCAGCACAGGGUGGCCGAUGAGCAGUGUGUGGGUCCAUCCUGGGGUCCUAAAUCUGCCAACCCCGGGCCGGGAAGCAGAGCUUGGGAACUUAACCACUAUGCCACCAGGCCGGCCCCCAAAAUCACGGGAUGGAUCUUAAUGUCGUGCAGGUUUCUCUUCUGGCCAAGCCUAACCCGGAACCACGGAUGGAAGGGCGCUCCGAGACACAAGGCCCUGCCUCAGCUACGUUGUCACAAGAUGCAGCCAUCGCGGGCGCAGAGGGACGUCUUUGUCCAUCAGAUGGCGGCCCUGCCCCGCGUGUGGCCCUCAGUGGGGUCCAGUGACUUCACGAGCCUCGAGCUCCCUCCUGGGGCACCGGGCUCUGCGAUGUCUGCUCCCUGACCUCAGCCAGGACCCCCUCGCCCGUCCCGGCUGCACUGCUCCUCCUCGAGCUCCUCAGGCCUCCACGGGGCACCCUGGCCCUUGGACUUCAGUGCCCUCGGCCUGGGGUCCCCGUUCCAGGCCUCGGCCUCCACGGCCCUGCCUCCCUCUGGAACAUUUCCCUCCUUUUCUGGAGCCUCCGAGUUGGAAGAGACGGGCCUUCGGGAGGAUGCUGGCGGGAGGUGCGCCCGUCCUGCAACAGGAGGACGAGGCCGACCCAGACGUAUCUACGCACAUUGAGAGGAUUGGACUGGAGGACGUCUCUGGGCCUUUCCAGUCCUACAUCCUGUUCCAUUCUUUCCUAAAUUGAGUUGCAGGUCCUUCUAGUUGUGGCAUGUGGGACACCGCCUCAACAUGGCCUGAUGAGCGGUGCCGUGUCCGCGCCCAGGAUCCGAACCGGC
RNAcentral lists this long non-coding RNA (876 nucleotides) under Equus caballus (horse). RNAcentral's name for it is "lncRNA (ENSECAG00000060042.1)". The record is from RNAcentral. Lineage: Eukaryota; Metazoa; Chordata; Mammalia; Perissodactyla; Equidae.